CAGUCGCCACGGGAAUACAGAGGGUGCAAGCGUUAAUCGGAAUUACUGGGCGUAAAGCGCGCGUAGGUGGUUUGUUAAGACAGAUGUGAAAUCCCCGGGCUUAACCUGGGAACUGCAUUUGUGACUGACGGGCUAGAGUAUGGCAGAGGGGGGUAGAAUUCCACGUGUAGCAGUGAAAUGCGUAGAGAUGUGGAGGAAUACCGAUGGCGAAGGCAGCCCCCUGGGCCAAUACUGACGCUCAUGCACGAAAGCGUGGGGAGCAAACAGGAUUAGAUACCCGCGUAGUCCCUGUCUCUUAUAC
Molecule: ribosomal RNA, 301 nt
Filed under: uncultured bacterium
Lineage: Bacteria
Description: partial 16S ribosomal RNA
Rfam family: Bacterial small subunit ribosomal RNA
Source: RNAcentral